CGCCGCACAGGGGAUGGAGUCCCCCUUGAACCGCCAAGUUGCUGAUGACUCCUACUGUCGA
Molecule: non-coding RNA, 61 nt
Filed under: Desulfocurvibacter africanus
Lineage: Bacteria; Pseudomonadati; Thermodesulfobacteriota; Desulfovibrionia; Desulfovibrionales; Desulfovibrionaceae
Also listed under: 1 other name
Description: Desulfovibrio africanus Fluoride sequence
Rfam family: Fluoride riboswitch aptamer (crcB RNA motif)
Source: RNAcentral